CAACCUCAACUCAUAUGGGACUACCCCCUGAAUUUAAGCAUAUUAAUUAGGGGAGGAAAAGAAACUAACAAGGAUUUUCUUAGUAGCGGCGAGCGAAAAGAAAACAGUUCAGCACUAAGUCACUUUGUCUAUAUGGCAAAUGUGAGAUGCAGUGUAUGGAGCGUCAAUAUUCUAGUAUGAGAAAUUAAUGAUUUAAGUCCUUCUUAAAUGAGGCCAUUUACCCAUAGAGGGUGCCAGGCCCGUAUAACGUUAAUGAUUACUAGAUGAUGUUUCCAAAGAGUCGUGUUGCUUGAUAGUGCAGCACUAAGUGGGUGGUAAACUCCAUCUAAAACUAAAUAUAACCAUGAGACCGAUAGUAAACAAGUACCGUGAGGGAAAGUUGAAAAGAACUCUGAAUAGAGAGUUAAACAGUACGUGAAACUGCUUAGAGGUUAAGCCCGAUGAACCUGAAUAUCCGUUAUGGAAAAUUCAUCAUUAAAAUUGUAAUAUUUAAAUAAUAUUAUUAAGAAUAAUGUGCAUUUUUUCCAUAUAAGGACAUUGUAAUCUAUUAGCAUAUCCCAAAUUUAUCAUAAAAUAUAACUUAUAGUUUAUUCCAAUUAAAUUGCUUGCAUUUUAACACAGAAUAAAUGUUAUUAAUUUGAUAAAGUGCUGAUAGAUUUAUAUUAUUACAGAGCGUUAAUUUUUCGGAAUUAUAUAAUGGCAUAAUUAUCAUUGAUUUUUGUGUUUAUUAUAUGCUCUUGUAUGAUUAGAAUCCACCACAGGGCGA
RNAcentral lists this non-coding RNA (766 nucleotides) under Drosophila simulans. RNAcentral's name for it is "Eukaryotic large subunit ribosomal RNA". It matches the Rfam family "Eukaryotic large subunit ribosomal RNA", at positions 1 to 634 of the family's 3401-position model. The record is from Rfam by way of RNAcentral. Lineage: Eukaryota; Metazoa; Arthropoda; Insecta; Diptera; Drosophilidae.